Molecule: non-coding RNA, 113 nt
Organism: Acanthosepion pharaonis
Lineage: Eukaryota; Metazoa; Mollusca; Cephalopoda; Sepiida; Sepiidae
Source: the annotation of a GenBank genome assembly
UUACGGCCUUAUCACGUUGAAACACCGGUUCGCAUACGAGCACUGAAGUUAAACAAAAUCGAGCCUGGUCAGUACCUAGAUGAGUGAUCACUUGGGAAUGCUAGGUGCAGUAA